CCGCACCUGUCCGGGGAGCCGCGCUCUCUGGCCUUUGCGCUGUUGUCUGAAGCGGCAUGUGGUGUUGACAGCCGGUCCCGCGCAACGUCAGCCCGUGAACCAUGUCAGGCGGGGAACCGAGCAGCAUUAAGCGGUAUCUGGUGUGUGCCGCGGCCAGCCGGCUCGAGCUGCCUGCCGCUUCAGAGAGGAGCGCGGAGCGU
Molecule: signal recognition particle RNA, 200 nt
Filed under: Candidatus Onthomonas avicola
Lineage: Bacteria; Bacillati; Bacillota; Clostridia; Eubacteriales; Oscillospiraceae
Description: signal recognition particle sRNA large type
Rfam family: Bacterial small signal recognition particle RNA (bases 69-167)
Source: RNAcentral